CUCAUAGCGUAUAUUUAAGUUGUUGCAGUUAAAAAGCUCGUAGUCGGAUUUUGGCUGAGAACGAACGGUCCGCCGUUAGGUGUGCACUGUUUGGUCUCAGCUUCCUGGUGAGGAGGUGUGCUUCACGGCCACUUAGUCACCGUGGUUACUUUGAAAAAAUUAGAGUGUUCAAAGCGGGCUUACGCUUGAAUAUAUUAGCAUGGAAUAACACCAUAGGACUCCUGUCCUAUUUCGUUGGUCUCGGGACGGGAGUAAUGAUUAAGAGGAACAGUUGGGGGCAUUCGUAUUUCAUUGUCAGAGGUGAAAUUCUUGGAUUUAUGAAAGACGAACUUCUGCGAAAGCAUUUGCCAAGGAUGUUUUCAUUGAUCAAGAACGAAAGUUGGGGGCUCGAAGAUGAUUAGAUACCAUCCUAGUCUCA
This 418-nucleotide ribosomal RNA is filed under the name uncultured eukaryote. RNAcentral's name for it is "SSU rRNA". It matches the Rfam family "Eukaryotic small subunit ribosomal RNA", at positions 591 to 1028 of the family's 1831-position model. The record is from RNAcentral.